Molecule: transfer RNA, 69 nt
Filed under: Rattus norvegicus (Norway rat)
Lineage: Eukaryota; Metazoa; Chordata; Mammalia; Rodentia; Muridae
Rfam family: tRNA
About the family: Transfer RNA (tRNA) molecules are approximately 80 nucleotides in length. Their secondary structure includes four short double-helical elements and three loops (D, anti-codon, and T loops).
Source: Rfam by way of RNAcentral
GGGGUUUUAGCUCAGUGGUAGAGCGCUUGCCUAGCAGGCAGGAGACCCUGGGUUCCAUCCUCAGAUCCA